CAGCACGCUGGUCAGGUACCCGUUGGUGAGGCCCAGGAGGCAGGUCAACGCCGUGACGGGUAUCUCCGUGCGGAGGAACUCAGGGCCGUGCAGGCAGACCAGGAAGAGCGGGAAGAAGAGCAACCUGGCGGCGCAGCCGGCAAUGGCGGUCGCCUCGCUCUGGAGCAUGUAGAGGGCGGGGAGGCACUUGCCGACCAGGUCGAACACGUUGUAGGCAGUGAUGAGGAUGAUGGCGUACCAGUCCCCGAGGGCCGGCGAGUGCACGUCCUGGGUGAGGUAGCCGGGGAAGAUGGAGAGGGUCACCGCGUAGAUGAGGAACACGCCGAGGCCGAACCAUUUGAUUCUGCCGACGAUCCUCCACAGGGUUGACCGCCAGGCCGCUCCGGUGAGCGCCGAGUCCUUCCCUUCUCGCUCCUCCUGCUCCGCCUGGGCCUUGAGGGCCUUGUAGUAGCGGACGACCGGCAGGCGGUCCGCCACGUUGUAGCAGAGGAGGCAGAGGCCCAUGAGGACGAUGCUGACGGCGAAGUAGAGGUGGGCGCUC
This 541-nucleotide long non-coding RNA is filed under the name Spirodela polyrhiza (greater duckweed). RNAcentral's name for it is "long non-coding RNA (SPOL_LNC001351)". The record is from RNAcentral. Lineage: Eukaryota; Viridiplantae; Streptophyta; Magnoliopsida; Alismatales; Araceae.